UACGUAGGGGGCAAGCGUUGUCCGGAUUUAUUGGGCGUAAAGAGCGUGUAGGCGGCUAGGUAGGUCCGUUGUGAAAACUCGAGGCUCAACCUCGAGACGUCGAUGGAAACCAUCUAGCUAGAGUCCGGAAGAGGAGAGUGGAAUUCCUGGUGUAGCGGUGAAAUGCGCAGAUAUCAGGAGGAACACCGGUGGCGAAGGCGGGUCUCUGGGCCGAAAUUGACGCUGAGGAGCGAAAGCGUGGGGGAGCAAACAGG
This 254-nucleotide ribosomal RNA is filed under the name uncultured bacterium. Its description in RNAcentral is "partial 16S ribosomal RNA". It matches the Rfam family "Bacterial small subunit ribosomal RNA", at positions 524 to 776 of the family's 1533-position model. The record is from RNAcentral.